Molecule: long non-coding RNA, 610 nt
Organism: Syngnathus acus (greater pipefish)
Lineage: Eukaryota; Metazoa; Chordata; Actinopteri; Syngnathiformes; Syngnathidae
Exons: 4
Source: RefSeq, a predicted model, not a curated record
CCAUUUUGUCGAUCGAGAAGUGCACGAGGAGAAGCUUCUCCGACGGCGAGCUCCAUUAGCAGCAUAGUUUUCGACAAAAUAGUUAAAAAACAACGCUCUUUACAAUGCCGAGGAGCUGCUGCGUCAUCGGUUGUUUUGCCAGCAAAGCAAUGCAGCCGGAGAAGAAAUUUGACAAAAGACGUUUUCUUUUAUUGGCUACUCCAAAAAUAACGAGUUGGAACCAACCCGUUCCGCGCGACACGUGAAGUCAGAAUCGUCGCCAUGGGUUCUUCCUUGCUUUAUGAUGUUCACAGGCCAUUUGAACACGUGGACACACACUUCUGAUGAUGGAUGACAUUUUGCCUGGUUAAGCAAGAAGAGAAACAGGAUGAACUGCCUCAUCUGCUGGCCAUGAUGGACAAAGUCGACAUGCCACUAAGAAGAGUGAUCACUCAUGUUUGCCUGAGGGAAAACAAAUGUUUCAGAAGGUUGCCGGAGUAAAAUGUCUCACGGCAGGACAAAGUCGACGUUACCUGUGGCAACAAAACCUGCCAGGACUUGGAUUCAGUGAAACUGAAAACUCAUUUUGCAUUACUGUAUCAUGGAUAAUCAUUAAAACAUUUUCACAUGA